Molecule: ribosomal RNA, 465 nt
Filed under: Vreelandella stevensii
Lineage: Bacteria; Pseudomonadati; Pseudomonadota; Gammaproteobacteria; Oceanospirillales; Halomonadaceae
Description: partial 16S ribosomal RNA
Rfam family: Bacterial small subunit ribosomal RNA
Source: RNAcentral
CCUACGGGGGGCUGCAGUGGGGAAUAUUGGACAAUGGGCGAAAGCCUGAUCCAGCCGUGCCGCGUGUGUGAAGAAGGCCUUCGGGUUGUAAAGCACUUUCAGUGGGGAAGAAAGCCUUGGGGCUAAUACCCUCGAGGAAGGACAUCACCCACAGAAGAAGCACCGGCUAACUCCGUGCCAGCAGCCGCGGUAAUACGGAGGGUGCGAGCGUUAAUCGGAAUUACUGGGCGUAAAGCGCGCGUAGGCGGUCUGAUAAGCCGGUUGUGAAAGCCCCGGGCUCAACCUGGGAACGGCAUCCGGAACUGUCAGGCUAGAGUGCAGGAGAGGAAGGUAGAAUUCCCGGUGUAGCGGUGAAAUGCGUAGAGAUCGGGAGGAAUACCAGUGGCGAAGGCGGCCUUCUGGACUGACACUGACGCUGAGGUGCGAAAGCGUGGGUAGCAAACAGGAUUAGAUACCCUAGUAGUC